Molecule: ribosomal RNA, 483 nt
Filed under: uncultured bacterium
Lineage: Bacteria
Description: bacterial SSU rRNA
Rfam family: Bacterial small subunit ribosomal RNA
Source: RNAcentral
GAUGAACGCUGGCGGCGUGCUUAACACAUGCAAGUCGAACGAAGCACUUAUGAUUGAGAUUUCGGUUGAUUGAUUAAGUGACUUAGUGGCGGACGGGUGAGUAACGCGUGGGUAACCUGCCUCGUACAAGGGGGAUAACAGUUAGAAAUGACUGCUAAUACCGCAUAACCCGCUAAGGUCGCAUGACCUGGACGGAAAAGAUUUAUCGGUACGAGAUGGACCCGCGUCUGAUUAGCUAGUUGGUGAGGUAACGGCCCACCAAGGCGACGAUCAGUAGCCGGCCUGAGAGGGUGACCGGCCACAUUGGGACUGAGACACGGCCCAAACUCCUACGGGAGGCAGCAGUGGGGAAUAUUGCACAAUGGGGGAAACCCUGAUGCAGCAACGCCGCGUGAGUGAAGAGGUAUUUCGGUAUGUAAAGCUCUAUCAGCAGGGAAGAAAAAAUGAACGGUACCUGACUAAGAAGCACCGGCUAAAUACGUG